UACGGGGGGGGCAAGCGUUGUUCGGAAUUACUGGGCGUAAAGGGCUCGUAGGCGGCCCACUAAGUCAGAUGUGAAAUCCCCAGGCUCAACCUGGGAACUGCGUCUGAUACUGAAUGGCUUGAAUCCGGGAGAGGGAUGCAGAAUUCCAGGUGUAGCGGUGAAAUGCGUAGAUAUCUGGAGGAAUACCGGUGGCGAAGGCGGCAUCCUGGACCGGCAUUGACGCUGAGGCGCGAAGGCGUGGGGAGCGAACGGG
RNAcentral lists this ribosomal RNA (253 nucleotides) under uncultured bacterium. Its description in RNAcentral is "partial 16S ribosomal RNA". It matches the Rfam family "Bacterial small subunit ribosomal RNA", at positions 524 to 776 of the family's 1533-position model. The record is from RNAcentral.